CUACAGCUGGAUCAUUUU
RNAcentral lists this ribosomal RNA (18 nucleotides) under Leishmania tropica. RNAcentral's name for it is "partial 18S ribosomal RNA". The record is from RNAcentral. Lineage: Eukaryota; Euglenozoa; Kinetoplastea; Trypanosomatida; Trypanosomatidae.